RNAcentral lists this ribosomal RNA (119 nucleotides) under Pteropus alecto (black flying fox). The record is from RNAcentral. RNAcentral also lists the same sequence under 1 other name. Lineage: Eukaryota; Metazoa; Chordata; Mammalia; Chiroptera; Pteropodidae.
GUCUACUGCCAUGCCACCCUGAACGUGCCCAAUCUCACCUGAUCUCGGAAGCUAAGCAGGGUUGGGCCUGGUUAGUACUUGGAUGGGAGACCACCUAGGAAUACCAGGUGCUAUAGGUG